AAUUCUUAGCAAUGGAUAUCUUGGCUCACGCAUUGAUGAAGAACAUAGCGAAAUGUGAUACUUGGUGUGAAUUGCAGAACCAUGCGAAUGGUCGAGUCUUUGAAUGCAAGUUGCCACGAAGCUUUUAGGCCAAGUGCAUGUCUCAUGCAUUGCAU
This 155-nucleotide ribosomal RNA is filed under the name Nicotiana sylvestris (wood tobacco). RNAcentral describes it as "5.8S ribosomal RNA". It matches the Rfam family "5.8S ribosomal RNA". Rfam says of the family: 5.8S ribosomal RNA (5.8S rRNA) is a component of the large subunit of the eukaryotic ribosome. It is transcribed by RNA polymerase I as part of the 45S precursor that also contains 18S and 28S rRNA. The record is from Rfam by way of RNAcentral. Lineage: Eukaryota; Viridiplantae; Streptophyta; Magnoliopsida; Solanales; Solanaceae. RNAcentral also lists the same sequence under 1 other name.